GACGUAGGGCGCGAGCGUUGUCCGGAUUUACUGGGCGUAAAGGGCGCGUAGGCGGCGCGGUAAGUCACUUGUGAAAUCUCUGAGCUUAACUCAGAACGGCCAAGUGAUACUGCAGUGCUAGAGUGUGGAAGGGGCAAUCGGAAUUCUUGGUGUAGCGGUGAAAUGCGUAGAUAUCAAGAGGAACACCUGAGGUGAAGACGGGUUGCUGGGCCAACACUGACGCUGAGGCGCGAAAGCCAGGGGAGCAAACGGG
RNAcentral lists this ribosomal RNA (253 nucleotides) under uncultured bacterium. RNAcentral's name for it is "partial 16S ribosomal RNA". It matches the Rfam family "Bacterial small subunit ribosomal RNA", at positions 524 to 776 of the family's 1533-position model. The record is from RNAcentral.